This 562-nucleotide ribosomal RNA is filed under the name uncultured bacterium. RNAcentral describes it as "partial 16S ribosomal RNA". It matches the Rfam family "Bacterial small subunit ribosomal RNA", at positions 355 to 909 of the family's 1533-position model. The record is from RNAcentral.
UGGGGAAUUUUGGACAAUGGGCGAAAGCCUGAUCCAGCCAUGCCGCGUGCAGGAUGAAGGCCUUCGGGUUGUAAACUGCUUUUGUACGGAACGAAAAGCCUCUUUCUAAUAAAGAGAGGUCAUGACGGUACCGUAAGAAUAAGCACCGGCUAACUACGUGCCAGCAGCCGCGGUAAUACGUAGGGUGCAAGCGUUAAUCGGAAUUACUGGGCGUAAAGCGUGCGCAGGCGGUUUUGUAAGACAGAGGUGAAAUCCCCGGGCUCAACCUGGGAACUGCCUUUGUGACUGCAAGGCUGGAGUGCGGCAGAGGGGGAUGGAAUUCCGCGUGUAGCAGUGAAAUGCGUAGAUAUGCGGAGGAACACCGAUGGCGAAGGCAAUCCCCUGGGCCUGCACCUGACGCUCAUGCACGAAAGCGUGGGGAGCAAACAGGAUUAGAUACCCUGGUAGUCCACGCCCUAAACGAUGUCAACUGGUUGUUGGGUCUUCACUGACUCAGUAACGAAGCUAACGCGUGAAGUUGACCGCCUGGGGAGUACGGCCGCAAGGUUGAAACUCAAAGGAA